This 85-nucleotide transfer RNA is filed under the name Felis catus (domestic cat). It matches the Rfam family "tRNA". From Rfam's summary of the family: Transfer RNA (tRNA) molecules are approximately 80 nucleotides in length. Their secondary structure includes four short double-helical elements and three loops (D, anti-codon, and T loops). Further hydrogen bonds mediate the characteristic L-shaped molecular structure. tRNAs have two regions of fundamental functional importance: the anti-codon, which is responsible for specific mRNA codon recognition, and the 3' end, to which the tRNAs corresponding amino acid is attached (by aminoacyl-tRNA synthetases). tRNAs cope with the degeneracy of the genetic code in two manners: having more than one tRNA (with a specific anti-codon) for a particular amino acid; and 'wobble' base-pairing, i.e. permitting non-standard base-pairing at the 3rd anti-codon position. RNAcentral also lists the same sequence under 3 other names. Lineage: Eukaryota; Metazoa; Chordata; Mammalia; Carnivora; Felidae. The record is from Rfam by way of RNAcentral.
GCCUGGGUGGCUCAGUCGGUUGAGCAUCUGACUUCAGCUCAGGUCAUGAGCUCAUGGUUUGUGAGUUCGAGCCCCGCGUCAGGCU